This is an RNA transcript of Schistocerca serialis cubense, 2621 nucleotides long. RefSeq lists it as uncharacterized. Lineage: Eukaryota; Metazoa; Arthropoda; Insecta; Orthoptera; Acrididae. The transcript is spliced from 2 exons. The record is from RefSeq and is a predicted model, not a curated record.
GGGUCCCUGAAAAUAAAUUAUUUUUUGUUAAUAAGGAAUAUGUACAUCUAAAUUAAUAGAAGAUAUUGCUUUUGACAAUAACUGUGAAACUAUGAAUUCAGUUUUAAUGGCAACAUUACUGUUGGUUUAUUUACAGUUAUACCAUACACUAAUGAGCAAAACAGUAACUUUCAAUAUUCAUGGAGCCCUUUGGAGUUGCAGAGGAGAAUAAUUAUCUUUGUACCAGGGACCUGCGAUGCCGAGGACGACACUCCACUGUCUGCAAAACAGCUUGGUUGAGAAGGGCUACCUCAGCAUCCCGUGCAACAUACUGCGGAGUGCUGGCCAUGUACAGCUGCGGUGUUUUGACGAUGUCAGGAUGCCCCGGCAGCUGACUCAGUGGCCUUUGUCCCCGUUGCCUCAGCCCCACUUGCUGGAAGCUGCAGGGUGGCCUGCUGUGUGUUUCUUCGGCAUCAUGGUUAAGAUCGCAGGCGACAAGAGCCUGCGAUCCGACAGCCAAAUCUGUGCCCUCGCCUCACGAUGCCUCCAGCGUGUAUUGGGAGACAACAAGACUGCCCACAGUAGUGAGCCGUUCAAGUGGCCUGCUACUGGCUGGUUAUGGACCCCAUGUUAGCCUCAGAGGGUCACACCAGUGACUCGCCGUGGACUGGAAUGCUGGUGCCCCUUCUGCUGCUGCGUGUAGCUGGUGGUGUGACACGCCCCACCAUCCAUGAGAGCUGCACACUUGAAUCCCCCUCGUUAGAAAACUGGCACCUGUCUAUACGCGGCUGUGCACGUCUGUUUUGCUAAUGUGCCACUCCGAGUCAUGUACUCAUAACACCUAGGUUGGGCCAGUGGAGCCCUUCUGCCUGUAACUUGAGCCAUGCAAACAGCUGUAUUUACUUUUUUCAGUGGUUCUAUAGCACUGUGGCCUCCAUUCUACUUCACAACUGCUGGUAAGUAUAACUUACUGUCAACAGGCCUGCGUCUGGCAGUAACUUGUGCGCUCAGAAAUAUUACACCGAAUCUAACUUUUUCCUAUCUUAAACGGUGGUGCCACUACAUAUCCUAUGAUGAUGAUAUCAUUGAGGCACUGUUGGAAUCGGCCUACUCAUAAAAAUACUUGGUUACAACACUUUGUAGUGAUUUAAAUGAUGACUCUAGAAAUAUACUACAACUCCCUACAUAUUAAUCACAUAGGGAUUGUAAGUGCAAUAUUAGAAUAACUGAUGUGUGCAGAAGCAUUCCAACAAUCAUUAUUCCUGCACUCCAUAUAUCAAUGGAACAGGAAGAAACCCUAAUAACUGAUACACUGGGAUGUACACUCUGCCAUGCUCUUCAUGGUGGUUUACAGAAUAUAGACGUAGAUGUAGAUUGAAAGUCCUCCAGUAAGUCUGUUGCAUGGAUAUUUGAACACUGCCCCGUCCAAAUAAAAGUCCAUUAUUACUCACUGCAUUGUUAGUCAUCACAUGUGCUUUGUUGCUGCUCCACAAUUUUCACAUUUUUGUACGUAAUAAACUAACACUGCAUGCCAUUGAAUGAAGUGUCACAGAUUCAGCUAAAUGAAAAAAUAUCCAAGCAAUUUGGACAUUUUUUAUGUGUAUAAACUGACUUCUGGAUUUUCUUUUGUGUUAGACCACUAUGGGCAGAUAGGCUUGAUUCAAAAAUCUAGGAUCUAAUGUUCUACUGUUCAUGUAGUUUUCACACAAUCACUCAUCAGUUGUGUCACUACACAUAUGUAUCACAAUAUAUUGUGUUUUUUUCCAUAUUUGCAAGUGCCUCAAAUAACUUGUACUAUAUUGUCAAUUGUAAAUUUAAUCUGUUAUCCUUAGAACAUCGUGCAUAACCUGUUUUGUAGUAAAUUGGUAUUUUUGAUUUACAGUUACUGUAGGAAACUAACAUGCCAUGUCUCAUUAGUCUUCUCUUUUAGUAUGAGUGGAUAUUGUCUACAUUUAUCACAAAUUAAUUUAAUUGUUGAAUUUGUUAAUGACUGUAAAUUGAAAAACCUUUUGAAGAAACAUUAUAUUUUUUAGAAAGUUUUUCUGUUGUCAUAAUAGAUAUCUUGUUCUGGCUGAUAAUUGCCUCAGUUCUAAAAGGCUAUGUGUAUAGGUACAUAGGGAAAAGUCCCGACACACUACGAAUAAAGUUAUUACCAAUGACAACAAACACUAUCGUGGCCCCUGUAAGCAUUGACAAAGAUGUAUUAUGCUACGCCGGGAGGCAAAUGACAUAUGAUGGAAACACCAUUCAAUUUUUUUGUCAAUUUAUUAUAUAGACUCUGUCUUUAGUUCUUGUGGGGAGAAGAGAUGUUCUUGUGAGAAGUGUGUCAUAUACGUUGUGUUGUCUGAAUACAAUUUUUUACGGAAGUAUGAAGUGUGAGAGUUCCUUUUUAGUACAAAAUCACGAAAUUUUUCUCUUCUUCCGCAUAUUACGCUAAUGCCAUGUCACUGUAGCUGCAUGCAUCUGAAGAGGAAGUCCGAUUAAAAUCAGUAUUUUACUCACAGUCAAAAAUGAGAACUAAUUAUGGUGGAAGAAGAAGCAUAUAACCAAAUUGUGUAAAUCUCAACAGCAUAGAGAAUACAGGAAUUGAUGUAAGUCAAAAGUGAAAGACAAUUCAUUCGCUGCAAAAUUCAUAAAAAUUA